UACAGAGGGUGCAAGCGUUGUUCGGAAUUACUGGGCGUAAAGCGCGUGUAGGUGGCGGUGUAAGUCGGGUGUGAAAUCCCUUGGCUACAACCCAAGGAAGUGCACUCGAUACUGCGUCGCUUGAGUACUGGAGGGGAUGGCGGAAUUCCCGGUGGUGACGAGGUCGAAAGUUCGUAGAUAUCGGGAGGAACACCUGUGGCGAAGGCGGCCAUCUGGACAGUCGACUGACACUGAGACGCGAAAGCGUGGGUAGCAAACAGG
Molecule: ribosomal RNA, 261 nt
Filed under: uncultured bacterium
Lineage: Bacteria
Description: partial 16S ribosomal RNA
Rfam family: Bacterial small subunit ribosomal RNA
Source: RNAcentral